GCCUGGGUGGUUCAGUUGGUUAAGCAUCUGAUUUCGGCUUAGGUCAUGAUCUCAUGGUUCAUGGGUUCGAGUCCCAUGUCGGGCU
This 85-nucleotide transfer RNA is filed under the name Felis catus (domestic cat). It matches the Rfam family "tRNA". From Rfam's summary of the family: Transfer RNA (tRNA) molecules are approximately 80 nucleotides in length. Their secondary structure includes four short double-helical elements and three loops (D, anti-codon, and T loops). The record is from Rfam by way of RNAcentral. Lineage: Eukaryota; Metazoa; Chordata; Mammalia; Carnivora; Felidae.